Long non-coding RNA from Musa acuminata AAA Group (dessert banana), 1687 nucleotides. RefSeq lists it as uncharacterized. The record is from RefSeq and is a predicted model, not a curated record. The transcript has 2 exons. NCBI's taxonomy places the organism in Eukaryota, Viridiplantae, Streptophyta, Magnoliopsida, Zingiberales, Musaceae.
UUCAAAUUGAAUAUAAUACCUACUUUAUAAAUCAAAAGCUAAACGAUUUUAGGCAUUUGACUUGUCAAGAGGAGAGAUAAAGAUUUAGUGCUGGAUAUUAAGUAUUUUAUUGGUGAUAAGACACCUUCUAACUUUUAACUAUGCUGUACAUCUAUGUUAAACCAUAUAUUAAAUGGUUUUGAUUUGUGUUUACAACUCUAUCAUCCAAAAAUCCCAAUUGUUCCUUUUUGUAGAAAUAUUUCUUACUCUCCUAUAACCAUUAAUGAAGGUUUGAAAGGCCUGGUUUAAGAAUACUAGUAUAUUUUGGGACAAAUAUUAGAUCAGCCAAAUUAAUUUCUGAACAAUGUUUGCCCGGGUUUGAAGCUGGAACCGUUUGGAGUGACAUAAUUAAUCAAGAGGAAUGACAUAAUUAAUUGAGAUCGACUUGGAACUCCUGGAACUGUUUGAAGCUGUUUGAAUCUGUUGAUUGCCUUUGGUGAUUUGGAGCCAGAAUAUUUUAGCCUUUAGAAAUUCAGGUAUUUGGGAUCACCUGCAGCUAAUUAAAAUUUUGGAAUAAUCUGAUUAGGAGCUGAAAACAGUAGAAUUUCAAACCAUGAUAUAAAUGCUAACUAUAAUGUGAAAAACUUUAUAAUGCUAAAUUCUAACUACUGUAUAGAUCUUGAAGAUGUUUUGAUCUUUUAAGUUUUUGCAAACUUAAGACACUGUGAUAUGAGGCUAUUCUGAUGCUGUCUAGCAAACAAGUUAAUUAUGUCCCUCCAAGACUUAUUAUUUUGCGGCUUCAUGAUGCACAUUAAGCCUAUUUCAGUGGCACAAUGGAAUUUGUGAAAUUGCUAUAAUCUUUUGAUACAUUCGUAAUAUCUAAUUUCUUCUGAAAAAAAUGAAAUAAGUGAUCUUAGAGUUUUAGAUUUUCUGAAAUAGGAUAUUGAGAGGAGUUAAUAUGUUUAUUACCUAUGCAGAGCUUUACACUUUUGCUCUUAGUGUGGAACAAUCAGAGCUGUUAGUUCAUAAGUAAUUGGCUUCAUGAGUUCAGCAUUUCUCAAAAUAAAUGAAGAAAGUUCACUCGCAAGUUAGGAGAAGAUCCUCGAAGUGUAUCAUUUUUCAACUUCAGUUAUACCAGGUGAAAAUUGUUUUCUCAUGAGUUUCUCUAUAACUUAAGUUUGAUGGAGUUGUAUGUGCUAAAGUUAGAUUAUUAAUGCAUGUGAAAUCCAAGUUCGAACUGUUUUUUAUGGUUAUUGGAGGAGAGACAUUAAUUCGUUUGAUUAUGCAUAAAAGUUACAGAGCACCUUUUGUCUAUCCUCUGAAGUAUGGUUGAUACAACAAAAACUCAGAAAAUGUGUUAUCAGAAGCAAGGUUUAGUUCAAUGGCCAAUAAACUGGAUGACCAGUAAACUUUUACUGAUGGUGUUGAAGUGAUGUAAAUGCAAGAGUUCAGUCUCGACUCCUUUUUUCUUACAAUAGUGAUUUGUUUAAACAAUUUAUUUGAAGUAAUUUGUUUACUAUUUUUCUCUUCCCUCCAUCCUUACUGGAUAUUUAUCCAUGAUUUGUGGAACAACAUACUUUUUCUUUUUUCUUUAUGCUUGAUGAUCUGCUCCUUGUUUUGAAGUGCAAUAUUCUUACUUAUUGACUGGGUCAGAUUCACUUCUAUUCACCUUUUCUGAAAAAACCAAGUUUCAGAUUUUGAAAGGCAU